AGUGAACGCUGGCGGUAGGCCUAACACAUGCAAGUCGAACGGCAGCACCGUAAGAGCUUGCUCUUACGGGUGGCGAGUGGCGGACGGGUGAGGAAUACAUCGGAAUCUACUUUUUCGUGGGGGAUAACGUAGGGAAACUUACGCUAAUACCGCAUACGACCUACGGGUGAAAGCAGGGGAUCUUCGGACCUUGCGCGAUUGAAUGAGCCGAUGUCGGAUUGGCUAGUUGGCGGGGUAAAGGCCCACCAAGGCGAGGAUCCGUACCUGGUCUGGGAGGCUGAUCAGCAACACUGGAACUGAGACACGGUCCAGACUCCUACGGGAGGCAGCAGUGGGGAAUAUUGGACAAUGGGCGCAAGCCUGAUCCAGCCAUACCGCGUGGGUGAAGAAGGCCUUCGGGUUGUAAAGCCCUUUUGUUGGGAAAGAAAAGCAGCAGGUUAAUACCCCGCUGUUCUGACGGUACCCAAAGAAUAAGCACCGGCUAACUUCGUG
This 492-nucleotide ribosomal RNA is filed under the name uncultured bacterium. Its description in RNAcentral is "partial 16S ribosomal RNA". It matches the Rfam family "Bacterial small subunit ribosomal RNA", at positions 29 to 507 of the family's 1533-position model. The record is from RNAcentral.